UAAUAAAAGCAAUAAAGCCUUUAGUUUCGACCUAAAAUCCGUAUGUAAAAUACUUAUUAU
RNAcentral lists this transfer RNA (60 nucleotides) under Fuelleborniella sp. FuspCA. RNAcentral's name for it is "tRNA-Arg". The record is from RNAcentral. Lineage: Eukaryota; Metazoa; Arthropoda; Insecta; Psocodea; Caeciliusidae.